This 376-nucleotide long non-coding RNA is filed under the name Bos taurus (domestic cattle). RNAcentral's name for it is "long non-coding RNA NONBTAT012714". Lineage: Eukaryota; Metazoa; Chordata; Mammalia; Artiodactyla; Bovidae. The record is from RNAcentral.
AAUGGCAUAUUCAGCUACAAGAAGUUAUAAGAAUUCAUAAUAGAUAUUCCUUGAUCAUAAGAUGACAAGAAAAUUAUGUUCACACCUUUGAUCACAGUAGAAAAGACAUAUUUUUUCUAAGAUAUUUGUCUCCAAACUUUCCUAGCACAUUUGCUGAAAAAUUAUUAAAAUUAAGAUAUCUCUUUAAACACAUUAGAAACCCAAUGAGAAUAUAUGAAAGUGGCCAAUGAAAUUCAUGCAAAAAAUCUAAGAAUUUGAAGUAUAAUCCUUUCACAUCUAAAAAUGUUUAAUGUAGUAUGUAGUUGAAGCCAGUAUUCAAAUUAUACGAAAUUGCUUUCUCCGUUUGUAAGAAAAACAAAAAACAAAGAGACAACUG